RNAcentral lists this ribosomal RNA (441 nucleotides) under uncultured bacterium. Its description in RNAcentral is "bacterial SSU rRNA". It matches the Rfam family "Bacterial small subunit ribosomal RNA", at positions 338 to 795 of the family's 1533-position model. The record is from RNAcentral.
CCUANGGGGGGCAGCAGUGGGGAAUAUUGGACAAUGGGCGCAAGCCUGAUCCAGCCAUGCCGCGUGGGUGAUGAAGGCCCUAGGGUUGUAAAGCCCUUUCGGCGGGGAAGAUAAUGACGGUACCCGCAGAAGAAGCCCCGGCUAACUUCGUGCCAGCAGCCGCGGUAAUACGAAGGGGGCUAGCGUUGCUCGGAAUCACUGGGCGUAAAGCGCACGUAGGCGGACUCUUAAGUCGGUGGUGAAAUCCUGGAGCUCAACUCCAGAACUGCCUCCGAUACUGAGAGUCUUGGAGUCCGGGAGAGGUGAGUGGAACUGCGAGUGUAGAGGUGAAAUUCGUAGAUAUUCGCAAGAACACCAGUGGCGAAGGCGGCUCACUGGCCCGGUACUGACGCUGAGGUGCGAAAGCGUGGGGAGCAAACAGGAUUAGAUACCCUGNUANUC